This 251-nucleotide ribosomal RNA is filed under the name uncultured bacterium. RNAcentral's name for it is "partial 16S ribosomal RNA". It matches the Rfam family "Bacterial small subunit ribosomal RNA", at positions 525 to 775 of the family's 1533-position model. The record is from RNAcentral.
ACGUAUGGUGCAAGCGUUAUCCGGAUUUACUGGGCGUAAAGGGAGCGCAGGCGGUGCGGCAAGUCUGAUGUGAAAGCCCGGGGCUCAACCCCGGUACUGCAUUGGAAACUGUCGUACUAGAGUGUCGGAGGGGUAAGCGGAAUUCCUAGUGUAGCGGUGAAAUGCGUAGAUAUUAGGAGGAACACCAGUGGCGAAGGCGGCUUACUGGACGAUAACUGACGCUGAGGCUCGAAAGCGUGGGGAGCAAACAG